Molecule: ribosomal RNA, 508 nt
Filed under: uncultured bacterium
Lineage: Bacteria
Description: partial 16S ribosomal RNA
Rfam family: Bacterial small subunit ribosomal RNA
Source: RNAcentral
GACGAACGCUGGCGGCGCGCUUAACACAUGCAAGUCGAGCGAGAACCAGUCCUUCGGGACUGGGGAAAGCGGCGAACGGGUGAGUAACACGUGGGUAAUCUGCCCUCGGCACUGGGAUAGCCCGGGGAAACCCGGAUUAAUACCGGAUAGCCUUUCGAGCCUUCGGGCUCGUCAGAAAGGGUGGCUUCGGCUUCCGGCUGAGGAUGAGCCCGCGGCGGAUUAGCUUGUUGGUGGGGUAAUGGCCUACCAAGGCGACGAUCCGUAGCUGGUCUGAGAGGACGAUCAGACACACUGGGACUGAGACACGGCCCAGACUCCUACGGGAGGCAGCAGUGGGGAAUCUUGCGCAAUGGGCGAAAGCCUGACACAGCGACGCCGCGUGCGGGAAGAAGGCCUUCGGGUUGUAAACCGCUUUCAGGAGGGACGAAGCCACUCGGGUUAAUAGCCCAGAGGGUGACGGUACCUCCAGAAGAAGCCCCGGCUAACUACGUGCCAGCCGCCGCAGUAA